GCCAGACUCCUACGGGAGGCAGCAGUGGGGAAUAUUGCACAAUGGGGGGAACCCUGAUGCAGCGACGCCGCGUGAGUGAAGAAGUAUUUCGGUAUGUAAAGCUCUGUCAGCAGGGAAGAAGAAAGACGGUACCUGACCAAGAAGCCCCGGCUAACUACGUGCCAGCAGCCGCGGUAAUACGUAGGGGGCAAGCGUUAUCCGGAUUUACUGGGUGUAAGGGGAGCGUAGACGGCUGCGCAAGUCAGAAGUGAAAGCCCGGGGCUCAACCGCGGGACUGCUUUUGAAACUGUAUAGCUAGAGUGCAGGAGAGGUAAGUGGAAUUCCUAGUGUAGCGGUGAAAUGCGUAGAUAUUAGGAGGAACACCGGUGGCGAAGGCGGCUUACUGGACUGUAACUGACGUUGAGGCUCGAAAGCGUGGGGAGCAAACAGGAUUAGAUACCCCUGUAA
RNAcentral lists this ribosomal RNA (447 nucleotides) under uncultured bacterium. Its description in RNAcentral is "partial 16S ribosomal RNA". It matches the Rfam family "Bacterial small subunit ribosomal RNA", at positions 330 to 793 of the family's 1533-position model. The record is from RNAcentral.